RNAcentral lists this ribosomal RNA (389 nucleotides) under uncultured microorganism. RNAcentral describes it as "bacterial SSU rRNA". It matches the Rfam family "Archaeal small subunit ribosomal RNA", at positions 330 to 720 of the family's 1478-position model. The record is from RNAcentral.
GUGCAGCAGUCGCGAAAACUUCACAAUGUGCGAAAGCACGAUGAGGGAAUCCCAAGUGCUUGCACGUAAGUGUAAGCUGUUUCUCUGUCUAAAACGCAGAGAGAGUAAGGGCUGGGUAAGACGGGUGCCAGCCGCCGCGGUAAUACCUGCAGCUCGAGUGGUGACCGUUAUUAUUGGGCCUAAAACGUCCGUAGCCGGUUUAAUAAAUGCCUGGGUAAAUCGGACCGCUUAACGGUUCGAAUUCCGGGUAGACUGUUAAACUUGAGACCGGGAGAAGUUAGAGGUACUCCUGGGGUAGAGGUGAAAUUCUGUAAUCCUAGGGGGACCACCAGUGGCGAAGGCGUCUAACUAGAACGGGUCUGACGGUGAGGGACGAAGCCCUGGGGCGC